AACGAACGCUGGCGGCAGGCCUAACACAUGCAAGUCGAGCGCUACCUUCGGGUGGAGCGGCGGACGGGUUAGUAACGCGUGGGAACGUGCCCUCCUCUACGGAAUAGCCAUUGGAAACGAUGAGUAAUACCGUAUACGCCCUUCGGGGGAAAGAUUUAUCGGAGAAGGAUCGGCCCGCGUUAGAUUAGAUAGUUGGUGGGGUAACGGCCUACCAAGUCUACGAUCUAUAGCUGGUUUGAGAGGAUGAUCAGCCACACUGGGACUGAGACACGGCCCAGACUCCUACGGGAGGCAGCAGUGGGGAAUCUUAGACAAUGGGGGCAACCCUGAUCUAGCCAUGCCGCGUGAGUGACGAAGGCCCUAGGGUCGUAAAGCUCUUUCGCCAGGGAUGAUAAUGACAGUACCUGGUAAAGAAACCCCGG
RNAcentral lists this ribosomal RNA (422 nucleotides) under uncultured bacterium. RNAcentral describes it as "bacterial SSU rRNA". It matches the Rfam family "Bacterial small subunit ribosomal RNA", at positions 29 to 496 of the family's 1533-position model. The record is from RNAcentral.